GGUUAAGCGACUAAGCGUACACGGUGGAUGCCCUGGCAGUCAGAGGCGAUGAAGGGCGUGCUAAUCUGCGAUAAGCGCCGGUAAGGUGAUAUGAACCGUUAUAACCGGCGAUACCCGAAUGGGGAAACCCAGUGUGAUUCGUCACACUAUCAUUAACUGAAUCCAUAGGUUAAUGAGGCGAACCGGGGGAACUGAAACAUCUAAGUACCCCGAGGAAAAGAAAUCAACCGAGAUUCCCCCAGUAGCGGCGAGCGAACGGGGAGGAGCCCAGAGCCUGAAUCAGCAUGUGUGUUAGUGGAAGCGUCUGGAAAGGCGCGCGAUACAGGGUGACAGCCCCGUACACAAAAGCGCAUGUGCUGUGAGCUCGAUGAGUAGGGCGGGACACGUGGUAUCCUGUCUGAAUAUGGGGGGACCAUCCUCCAAGGCUAAAUACUCCUGACUGACCGAUAGUGAACCAGUACCGUGAGGGAAAGGCGAAAAGAACCCCGGCGAGGGGAGUGAAAAAGAACCUGAAACCGUGUACGUACAAGCAGUGGGAGCACAGGUUUACCUGUGUGACUGCGUACCUUUUGUAUAAUGGGUCAGCGACUUAUAUUCUGUAGCAAGGUUAACCGUAUAGGGGAGCCGGAGGGAAACCGAGUCUUAAUUGGGCGUUAAGUUGCAGGGUAUAGACCCGAAACCCGGUGAUCUAGCCAUGGGCAGGUUGAAGGUUGGGUAACACUAACUGGAGGACCGAACCGACUAAUGUUGAAAAAUUAGCGGAUGACCUGUGGCUGGGGGUGAAAGGCCAAUCAAACCGGGAGAUAGCUGGUUCUCCCCGAAAGCUAUUUAGGUAGCGCCUCGUGAAUUCAUCUCCGGGGGUAGAGCACUGUUUCGGCUAGGGGGCCAUCCCGGCUUACCAACCCGAUGCAAACUGCGAAUACCGGAGAAUGUUAUCACGGGAGACACACGGCGGGUGCUAACGUCCGUCGUGAAGAGGGAAACAACCCAGACCGCCAGCUAAGGUCCCAAAGUCAUGGUUAAGUGGGAAACGAUGUGGGAAGGCCCAGACAGCCAGGAUGUUGGCUUAGAAGCAGCCAUCAUUUAAAGAAAGCGUAAUAGCUCACUGGUCGAGUCGGCCUGCGCGGAAGAUGUAACGGGGCUAAACCAUGCACCGAAGCUGCGGCAGCGAACGUAUCACCCAAGACAACUUUACGGAGUUGACGAUUGACGGAGCGAAGCGACGUCAAAGCGUUCAUUAAAGUCGAGUUGGCUUAGGGAUACGUUCGUUGGGUAGGGGAGCGUUCUGUAAGCCUGUGAAGGUGUGUCGUGAGGCAUGCUGGAGGUAUCAGAAGUGCGAAUGCUGACAUAAGUAACGAUAAAGCGGGUGAAAAGCCCGCUCGCCGGAAGACCAAGGGUUCCUGUCCAACGUUAAUCGGGGCAGGGUGAGUCGACCCCUAAGGCGAGGCCGAAAGGCGUAGUCGAUGGGAAACGGGUUAAUAUUCCCGUACUUGGUGUUACUGCGAAGGGGGGACGGAGAAGGCUAUGUUGGCCGGGCGACGGUUGUCCCGGUUUAAGCGUGUAGGUGUGUGUUCCAGGUAAAUCCGGUUCACUUUAACACUGAGGCGUGACGACGAGGCACUACGGUGCUGAAGCAACAAAUGCCCUGCUUCCAGGAAAAGCCUCUAAGCAUCAGGUAACAUCAAAUCGUACCCCAAACCGACACAGGUGGUCAGGUAGAGAAUACCAAGGCGCUUGAGAGAACUCGGGUGAAGGAACUAGGCAAAAUGGUGCCGUAACUUCGGGAGAAGGCACGCUGACACGUAGGUGAAGUGAUUUACUCAUGGAGCUGAAGUCAGUCGAAGAUACCAGCUGGCUGCAACUGUUUAUUAAAAACACAGCACUGUGCAAACACGAAAGUGGACGUAUACGGUGUGACGCCUGCCCGGUGCCGGAAGGUUAAUUGAUGGGGUCAGCGCAAGCGAAGCUCCUGAUCGAAGCCCCGGUAAACGGCGGCCGUAACUAUAACGGUCCUAAGGUAGCGAAAUUCCUUGUCGGGUAAGUUCCGACCUGCACGAAUGGCGUAAUGAUGGCCAGGCUGUCUCCACCCGAGACUCAGUGAAAUUGAACUCGCUGUGAAGAUGCAGUGUACCCGCGGCAAGACGGAAAGACCCCGUGAACCUUUACUAUAGCUUGACACUGAACAUUGAGCCUUGAUGUGUAGGAUAGGUGGGAGGCUUUGAAGUGUGGACGCCAGUCUGCAUGGAGCCGACCUUGAAAUACCACCCUUUAAUGUUUGAUGUUCUAACGUGGACCCGUAAUCCGGGUUGCGGACAGUGUCUGGUGGGUAGUUUGACUGGGGCGGUCUCCUCCUAAAGAGUAACGGGAGGAGCACGAAGGUUGGCUAAUCCUGGUCGGACAUCAGGAGGUUAGUGCAAUGGCAUAAGCCAGCUUGACUGCGAGCGUGACGGCGCGAGCAGGUGCGAAAGCAGGUCAUAGUGAUCCGGUGGUCUGAUGGAAGGGCCAUCGCUCAACGGAUAAAAGGUACUUCCGGGGGAUACAGGCUGAUACCGCCCAAGAGUUCAUAUCGACGGCGGUGUUUGGCACCUCGAUGUCGGCUCAUCACAUCCUGGGGGCUGAAGUAGGUCCCAAAGGGUAUGGCUGUUCGCCAUUUAAAGUGGUACGCGAGCUGGGUUUAGAACGUCGUGAGACAGUUCGGUCCCUAUCUGCCGUGGGCGCUGGAGAACUGAGGGGGGCUGCUCCUAGUACGAGAGGACCGGAGUGGACGCAUCACUGGUGUUCGGGUUGUCAUGCCAAUGGCACUGCCCGGUAGCUAAAUGCGGAAGAGAUAAGUGCUGAAAGCAUCUAAGCACGAAACUUGCCCCGAGAUGAGUUCUCCCUGAGACUUUAGGUCUCCUGAAGGAACGUUGAAGACGACGACGUUGAUAGGCCGGGUGUGUAAGCGCAGCGAUGCGUUGAGCUAACCGGUACUAAUGAACCGUGAGGCUUAACCUU
Molecule: ribosomal RNA, 2994 nt
Filed under: Salmonella enterica subsp. enterica serovar Typhimurium str. TN061786
Lineage: Bacteria; Pseudomonadati; Pseudomonadota; Gammaproteobacteria; Enterobacterales; Enterobacteriaceae
Description: LSU rRNA
Rfam family: Bacterial large subunit ribosomal RNA
Source: RNAcentral